AUUUUAAAAAUUAACUGCCUUGAACUUUUAUAAAAAAUUUUACUUGACUUAAAGAGACUUAGUAAAGCUCCUAGCAGACUCCUAGACUGCACUUCCCCGAGGGCUGAAUAUUCCCUAUUCCCAGUGAGCAAUUGGAUAUCAAAGGCAAUUUGCCACAUUCUGGGGAUUUGGUGUUAAAUAUUCAAUUCCGUCUGCAGCGGACGUCUGCGUUUGCAUCGCGUUUCCGUCUUAGUUUCAUUUCGUUUCCCAUUGCAAUGGCAUCAUGAUGAUGGUGAUGCUGAAUGCUGGAUGCUGGAUGCUGGCAACUGGAGAUCCGAGAACCUACAGGAGGAGCAAAAGGACUGCCAAGUGGUCCAGUCUGUGGCCAUUCUCUAACAAACAAACAACAAAACGAGCACAAAGAAUAAACUUUUGAAUGGACAGAAGGGAGAUUUUAGGAGAGUUGCGAAAGUGCACAGUCACUUAAAAAAAAGUUUUAAGUUUUUUUUGGUAAAAACUAUUCUGGUUUGCUAUUUUUUUUUAAUUUUAAAAAUCUGUUGUUUAUUUUAUGUACACCUUUAGACUUCAAUAUCAUGUGCACCUAAUUCUGAAUAUCCGCAUAUUCCGAUUUAAUACAGUAAAUAUAUCAUAAUUUGUUAAACGA
Molecule: long non-coding RNA, 643 nt
Organism: Drosophila biarmipes
Lineage: Eukaryota; Metazoa; Arthropoda; Insecta; Diptera; Drosophilidae
Exons: 2
Source: RefSeq, a predicted model, not a curated record